CACGUAGGGGGCGAGCGUUGUCCGGAAUUACUGGGCGUAAAGGGCGUGUAGGCGGCCUGUCAAGUCAGGUGUGAAAAACCGGGGCUCAACCCUGGUCGUGCACUUGAAACUGGCGGGCUUGAGUGCAGGAGAGGAAAGUGGAAUUCCCAGUGUAGCGGUGAAAUGCGUAGAUAUUGGGAGGAACACCAGUGGCGAAGGCGACUUUCUGGCCUGUAACUGACGCUGAGGCGCGAAAGCUAGGGGAGCAAACAGGAUUAGAUACC
RNAcentral lists this ribosomal RNA (263 nucleotides) under uncultured bacterium. RNAcentral's name for it is "partial 16S ribosomal RNA". It matches the Rfam family "Bacterial small subunit ribosomal RNA", at positions 524 to 786 of the family's 1533-position model. The record is from RNAcentral.